CCUACGAGUGGCAGCAGUGGGGAAUAUUGCACAAUGGGGGAAACCCUGAUGCAGCGACGCCGCGUGAGUGAAGAAGUAUCUCGGUACGUAAAGCUCUAUCAGCAGGGAAGCUAAUGACGGUACCUGACCAAGAAGCCCCGGCUAACUACGUGCAACCAGCCGCGGGAAUACGUCGGGGGCGAGCGUUAUCCGGAUUUACUGGGUGUAAAGGGAGCGUAGGCGGCAGCACAAGUCUGGAGUGAAAGCCCGGGGCUUAACCCCGGAACUGCUUUGGAAACUGGGCGGCUGGAGUGCAGGAGGGGUAAGCGGAAUUCCUAGUGUAGCGGUGAAAUGCGUAGAUAUGAGGAGGAACACCGGUGGCGAAGGCGGCAUACUGGACUGUAACUGACGUUGAGGCUCGAAAGCGUGGGGAGCAAACAGGAUGAGAUACCCCUGUAGUC
RNAcentral lists this ribosomal RNA (440 nucleotides) under uncultured bacterium. RNAcentral's name for it is "partial 16S ribosomal RNA". It matches the Rfam family "Bacterial small subunit ribosomal RNA", at positions 338 to 795 of the family's 1533-position model. The record is from RNAcentral.